CCGACUUUGCUCCUCUCGAUUUCAACGGCCCAUUCUCUGUUUCACAAAUAAGAAACCUAAUUUAUCUUGAAAUGAUAAAUUGUUACGCACUAGAUAAUUUUACGUAAAAAUAACAAAUAUGACCGUUACGCACUAAAACUCAAAUAAUUUAAUUUUACGCAAAUAUGACCGUUGUGAGCCUAAUUGAAAUCUCCUUAUUUUGCAGCCUAAUUGAAAUCUCCUUUUUCUUAACCUCGUCAGAAAAAAGGAAACAAUAGAGAGACUUUCCUUUUUUCAAUUGAACAACGUUUGCUUAUAAAUACUCACUCUUCUUCCUUGUGAAAUCAAAAUUCUUCAUCUUUCAUCUUUUUCUCUUUUUUCAUACCUCUAGAUUCUUCCGCAGCAAAGCUCUGCGAUUUUGUUGGUCCGAUCUUUCAUCUUUCAUCGAGACUAAAACUAAAGAAACCAUCUUUCAUCUUUUUCUUUUUUUAAUACCUCUAGUCUCUAGAAACCAUCUUCUGGAUCGAGACCGUACGUGAAGGAGAUGAUCCAUUCAGAGAUUGAAGUGAGCCGAGGAUCAAUGUAACGAUUUCAUCCGUAGGAUUGGUCGGAGGAAGACAUCUCGUUUCGGGAAUGAUCCCCAUCCUCUGAUUCCAGGUCGGCUCUACCCUAAUUUCACCGUUCUCAUGAGAUUACGAAGAAAAACAAAGCGGCAAUAAAGAAGAUUACAGAGACAGGGAGGGUUAGUGAAGGAGAGCACCAAGACGGCGAUGGAUACGAGACGGUGUUUCCAUGGCUGAGAUCAUGAAUACGUCGCCUGAGGAUGAUCUCUGCGUUUCGUCGAUAACACGAGCAUCAAGGUACCUCUCUUAAUUUCCUUUUUUCUCUCUUAAUAAGAUUUUUAUUUCUGUAUUUUAAUUAAUUUUUAAAUAAAAUUUUAAUUUCACUAA
RNAcentral lists this long non-coding RNA (929 nucleotides) under Arabidopsis lyrata. RNAcentral's name for it is "long non-coding RNA (ALYR_LNC002947)". The record is from RNAcentral. Lineage: Eukaryota; Viridiplantae; Streptophyta; Magnoliopsida; Brassicales; Brassicaceae.